GAUGAACGCUGGCGGCGUGCUUAACACAUGCAAGUCGAACGGAAAGGCCCUGCUUUUGUUGGGUUCUCGAUUGGCGAACGGGGGAGUAACACGUGAGUAACCUGCCCUUGACUUUGUGAUAACUUCUGGAAACUGGGGCUAAUACCGGAUAGGAUCUCCUGCUGCGUGUUGGUGGUUGGAAAGUUUCGGCGGUUGUGGAUGUGCUCGAGGCAUAUCAGCUUGUUUGUGUGGUAGUGGCUUACCAAGGCUUUGACGGGUAGCCGGCCUGAGAGGGUGACCGGCGAUAUUGGGACUGAGAGACGGCACAGACUGCGACGGGAGGGAGAAGUGGGGAAGCUUGAACAAUGGGCGGAAGCCUGAUGAAGAAAGGCCGCGUACGGGAUGACGGCGUUAGGGUUGUAAAACGAUUUCGCAUGUGACGAAGCGUGAGUGAACGUAAUGGGUACAGAAGCACAGGCCAAACACGUGC
This 469-nucleotide ribosomal RNA is filed under the name uncultured bacterium. RNAcentral's name for it is "partial 16S ribosomal RNA". It matches the Rfam family "Bacterial small subunit ribosomal RNA", at positions 28 to 508 of the family's 1533-position model. The record is from RNAcentral.